CAGCCGCCGCGGGAAUACGGAGGGUGCAAGCGUUAAUCGGAAUUACUGGGCGUAAAGCGCACGCAGGCGGUUUGUUAAGUCAGAUGUGAAAUCCCCGAGCUUAACUUGGGAACUGCAUUUGAAACUGGCAAGCUAGAGUCUUGUAGAGGGGGGUAGAAUUCCAGGUGUAGCGGUGAAAUGCGUAGAGAUCUGGAGGAAUACCGGUGGCGAAGGCGGCCCCCUGGACAAAGACUGACGCUCAGGUGCGAAAGCGUGGGGAGUAAACAGGAUUAGAUACCCCAGUAGUCCCUGUCUCUUAUAA
This 301-nucleotide ribosomal RNA is filed under the name uncultured bacterium. Its description in RNAcentral is "partial 16S ribosomal RNA". It matches the Rfam family "Bacterial small subunit ribosomal RNA", at positions 509 to 809 of the family's 1533-position model. The record is from RNAcentral.